RNAcentral lists this ribosomal RNA (247 nucleotides) under uncultured bacterium. RNAcentral describes it as "partial 16S ribosomal RNA". It matches the Rfam family "Bacterial small subunit ribosomal RNA", at positions 523 to 769 of the family's 1533-position model. The record is from RNAcentral.
AUACGGAGGGGGCUAGCGUUGUUCGGAAUCACUGGGCGUAAAGCGCGCGUAGGCGGCGAUUCAAGUCAGAGGUGAAAGCCUGGAGCUUAACUCCAGAACUGCCUUUGAAACUGAGUUGCUAGAGAUUGGGAGAGGUAAGCGGAAUUCCGAGUGUAGAGGUGAAAUUCGUAGAUAUUCGGAAGAACACCAGUGGCGAAGGCGGCUUACUGGACCAAUACUGACGCUGAGGUGCGAAAGCGUGGGGAGC